UUCCGGUUGAUCCUGCCAGAGGUUACUGCUAUCGGGGUCCGACUAAGCCAUGCGAGUCGAGAGGGUAAAGCCCUCGGCGUAAUGCUCAGUAACACGCGGAUAACCUGCCCUUGGGUCCGGGAUAACCCCGGGAAACUGGGACUAAUACCGGAUAGAUCAAAGACACUGGAAUGUUCUCUGGUCCAAAACUCCGGUGCCCAAGGAUGGGUCUGCGGCCUAUCAGGUUGUAGUGGGUGUAACGUACCUACUAGCCGACGACGGGUAAGGGUUGUGAGAGCAAGAUCCCUGAGAUGGAUUCUGAGACAUGAAUCCAGGCCCUACGGGGUGCAGCAGGCGCGAAACCUUUACACUGCGGGAAACCGCGAUAAGGGGACCCCGAGUGCCAGCACCUAGUGCUGGCUGUCCAGCUGUCCAAAUAACAGUUGUUAGCAAGGACCGGGCAAGACCGGUGCCAGCCGCCGCGGUAACACCGGCGGCCCGAGUGGUAGCCGCUAUUAUUGGGUUUAAAGGGCCCGUAGCCGGCCUAUUAAGUCUCUUGGGAAAUCUGGCGGCUUAAUCGUCAGGCGUCCAAGAGAUACUGGUAGGCUUGGGACCGGGAGAGGUGGGAGGUACUCCAGGGGUAGGGGUGAAAUCUCGUAAUCCUUGGGGGACCACCGAUGGCGAAGGCAUCCCACCAGAACGGGUCCGACGGUGAGGGACGAAAGCUGGGGGCACGAACCGGAUUAGAUACCCGGGUAGUCCCAGCUGUAAACGAUGCUCGCUAGGUGUCAGGUGCGGUGCGACCGCAUCUGGUGCCGCAGUGAAAACUUGAAGCGAGUCACCUGGGAAGUACGGUCGCAAGGCUGAAACUUAAAGGAAUUGGCGGGGGAGCACUACAACGGGUGGAGCCUGCGGUUCAAUUGGAUUCAACGCCGGG
RNAcentral lists this ribosomal RNA (916 nucleotides) under uncultured archaeon. RNAcentral describes it as "bacterial SSU rRNA". It matches the Rfam family "Archaeal small subunit ribosomal RNA", at positions 1 to 922 of the family's 1478-position model. The record is from RNAcentral.